UUUAAAUGAUGAAAAACAAAAAUUUUCAGUUCUGCUUCUGAACCAAAAUUCUAUGAAGAUACUCAUUUACCAAAGCUCAAUAUCUGAUUU
Molecule: small nucleolar RNA, 90 nt
Filed under: Candida maltosa Xu316
Lineage: Eukaryota; Fungi; Ascomycota; Pichiomycetes; Serinales; Debaryomycetaceae
Source: RNAcentral